This 27-nucleotide non-coding RNA is filed under the name Homo sapiens (human). Lineage: Eukaryota; Metazoa; Chordata; Mammalia; Primates; Hominidae. The record is from RNAcentral.
UGGCUCAUACUAUGUGGAAACUGCCAA